AGAGCUUUUCAGCCUUUGCGGGAAGCUCAAGUGUAGUGCGUAUUCUUACCAGCUGCUUAUCUGAUAGGUGGCUGCAAGGAUUCACCGUUAAAUAGCAUUGUGGAGACAGGAGGUGCUUUGGGAGCUUGCUGCAGCUGCUUCACACGAGGCCCUGGUAUUGCAAUACCUCCUGGUCCGCUGUUAGCCCU
This 188-nucleotide small nuclear RNA is filed under the name Podiceps cristatus (great crested grebe). Its description in RNAcentral is "U2 spliceosomal RNA". It matches the Rfam family "U2 spliceosomal RNA". From Rfam's summary of the family: U2 is a small nuclear RNA (snRNA) component of the spliceosome (involved in pre-mRNA splicing). Complementary binding between U2 snRNA (in an area lying towards the 5' end but 3' to hairpin I) and the branchpoint sequence (BPS) of the intron results the bulging out of an unpaired adenosine, on the BPS, which initiates a nucleophilic attack at the intronic 5' splice site, thus starting the first of two transesterification reactions that mediate splicing. Lineage: Eukaryota; Metazoa; Chordata; Aves; Podicipediformes; Podicipedidae. The record is from Rfam by way of RNAcentral.